This is a long non-coding RNA of Micropterus salmoides (largemouth bass), 1630 nucleotides long. RefSeq lists it as uncharacterized. NCBI's taxonomy places the organism in Eukaryota, Metazoa, Chordata, Actinopteri, Centrarchiformes, Centrarchidae. The record is from RefSeq and is a predicted model, not a curated record. The transcript is spliced from 2 exons.
CACAAGCCUAGACACGCGCUUCACAAAAAUCAUCCUGUAUUACUCGACAGACGCUUCGAAGCCUCGAUACGGACGGACACAUCACUAAUUUGGAAUAUAAUUUCCACAACAAUUUGGCACCCCAGAUGGGACGGACGAGGGAUUUUGGACUCCGUUGAAGGACAGAAGCCGGCUUAUUUUUGGAAAAUCCUCCCUGCAGGGAGAAGCUGUGUUCAGCGGAGCCCUGAUUUCCGUUCCAGAAAGAAAAGGAAAAGAACUUACACGGUGAGAAAUGAGCAGAUAGUUUGUUAAAAAUUAAGGGAGUGAGAUUGAACAGAGUGAAGGAAGUGGUCUUAUAUCUCGCGCCUGAAUGAUUUGCAGGACCCCUCUGUCUGCUUGUAAACUGAAUGAGUGGGUGGAGAGUGGGACUGGUUUAGGGGCUCGGACAGACGUGUCCGGGUUUUCUCUGUGGUGUCUGAGGGUUUUUGGGGUUUCCAGCUGAUAAGUUAGGUUUGCAGCGCGUAGCCUUAGACUUAACCGAACUCAGUGGACCCAAAUAUUUCUAUGGACCCGAGUACAGACUAGCUAGAGAGAGUAGACUAUGGCAAGUGUCAGAGUAAAGUGAGGACUGAGUCUGAAUCCACUCCCAGAUUACCUUCACCAGUUAUGAAAUUGAUGACUAAAAUAUUAGACAUUAAUGGAACAAUUUGAUAAGCUGGUUGAAAUGGGUUUCCUGCAAAAUGGAAGCUUUAGUCUAAAACUAUUGAACCAGCUAAAGACAUUUGGAGAGAAAGGAUAGCAGAAAUGCAAUAGAGCAUGCAGCCCUGUCCAGAGGAAAGAAAAGUAAACAAACUGCAAUUCAGAUGGGUAAGACAAGAACUGAGGACAAGGAAAGCUCAGAACUGAAAAUUAGAAUAGAUUCAUUAAAGAUCUGAUUAAACUGAUUAGCCCAUUGAUGACUGAUCAACUGACUAUAUCUUCUUUAACCGAGGUACACAAGUCACGGAAUCCAUUCUGACUGAUCCAGUCCUGGACUCCGCUCCUCCUCCUCCAGAAUGCUCCAGUCUGCGAAAAGUCCAAUAAAGACACAUUGGCUCUCCCUCCAGAUUCCCAGAGAAAGAAAUGCCAGGAAAAAAUAGGACAUUGUUGAAGCCAUGGCUCAUGUGACCAGCCUGACUGAAACCUUCAACAGCUCCACAGACACAGCUGGAGCAUUUUGGAUAAGGUUGUCAAAGAAUAUGGGCCACAAUGACUGAGAUAAACACAGCGAUGAGAAAAUCAAAUCAAGCUGGACUUCUCAAGAUCAGCAUAAAGAUAAGAAUAAAAUGUUCCUUUCUUAAUCACCAUCACUAUCAUCAUACGUCACUCUAGCCAGACAAGAAGGAAAGCAGUUUGAAGUAUGCUGAGUAAAAAUGACAAUGCACAGUCCAGAAUUACCAUUGGACUAAGCUCUGUCCUCUACUGUACAUCUUGAUAAUUAAAUUAAAAGCACGAUGUUGACCACGUAGGAGCUGAGGUUAGUAAUGUUAAAGUAAAUUAGGGAUGCAAACUAACAUUAGUCCUUUUAAGCUAAUGAGGAAAUUAUUCUCUUGGAUUUUGAUGUACAAAUGAAAUGCUUGUAAUAAUAAAGAAGGGAUGUGGUUCUCAUGUU